This 496-nucleotide ribosomal RNA is filed under the name uncultured bacterium. Its description in RNAcentral is "partial 16S ribosomal RNA". It matches the Rfam family "Bacterial small subunit ribosomal RNA", at positions 30 to 523 of the family's 1533-position model. The record is from RNAcentral.
AUUGAACGCUGGCGGAAUGCUUUACACAUGCAAGUCGAACGGUAGAGGGGGCAACCCCUCGAGAGUGGCGAACGGGUGAGUAAUAUAUCGGAGCGUGCCCAGUCGUGGGGGAUAACGUAGCGAAAGUUACGCUAAUACCGCAUACGAUCUAAGGAUGAAAGCGGGGGAUCGCAAGACCUCGCGCGAUUGGAGCGGCCGAUAUCAGAUUAGGUAGUUGGUGGGGUAAAGGCUCACCAAGCCAACGAUCUGUAGCUGGUCUGAGAGGACGACCAGCCACACUGGAACUGAGACACGGCCCAGACUCCUACGGGAGGCAGCAGUGGGGAAUUUUGGACAAUGGACGCAAGUCUGAUCCAGCCAUUCCGCGUGCAGGAUGAAGGCCCUCGGGUUGUGAACUGCUUUUGUACGGAACGAAAAGGUCUCUCUUAAUACGGGGGACUCAUGACGGUACCGUAAGAAUAAGCACCGGCUGACUACGUGCCAGCCGCCGCCGUAA